CCUACGGGUGGCAGCAGUGAGGAAUAUUGGUCAAUGGACGCAAGUCUGAACCAGCCAUGCCGCGUGCAGGAUGACGGCCCUAUGAGUUGUAAACUGCUUUUGUACGAGGGUAAACGCAGAUACGCGUAUCUGUUUGAAUGUAUCGUAUGAAUAAGGAUCGGCUAACUCCGUGCCAGCAGCCGCGGUAAUACGGAGGAUCCAAGCGUUAUCCGGAUUUAUUGGGUUUAAAGGGUGCGUAGGUGGGCGGUUAAGUUAGAGGUGAAAUCCCGAGGCUCAACUUCGGAAUUGCAUCUGAUACUGUUCGGCUAGAGAGUAGUUGCGGUAGGCGGAAUGUAUGGUGUAGCGGUGAAAUGCUUAGAGAUCAUACAGAACACCGAUUGCGAAGGCAGCUUACCAAUCUAUAUCUGACGUUGAGGCACGAAAGCGUGGGGAGCAAACAGGAUUAGAUACCCGAGUAGUC
RNAcentral lists this ribosomal RNA (460 nucleotides) under uncultured bacterium. RNAcentral describes it as "partial 16S ribosomal RNA". It matches the Rfam family "Bacterial small subunit ribosomal RNA", at positions 338 to 795 of the family's 1533-position model. The record is from RNAcentral.